CGGUGCGUUUAAAGUGCUUUCCCAUAAUGCACCGCUCCCUGAGCCAGUAUGGCCGAACCGGGUAAACGUGCUUCUUAACUUCUACUUUUGUUUUUCGCGUUGUACCUCGUUGCUUUGGUACACUUGAGUCGGUAAGGCACGAAACGUCUUCGACGAUGAUGUUUUUCUCUGUCUGGUGUUUUCUGUGCAUCAUUGCAGGCGCUUUCGGCGCCGAAGUGGAAGAUGUCUCCGAGGACCAGUGGGACUACUCGGGGUACUUGAUGUCAGUAUGGAAAAACAGACUGUACAUGUACUCGGCUGCAGCAGUCUUCCUUGGGGUCUGGUUCACGCUAAAGAUGGCGAAGAAAAAAACCGCAUCUGGCCAGCAUGCAGAUGCUGGAAUCAGCAAAACGGCAAAAGAGGGAGGAUAUUCCGCUGUAAAGGAGAAGAGAAAGGUUCAUGUGUCAGGGGUGAAGAUUUUCUACGGAUCACAGACUGGAACGGCGAAGGGAUUUGCCGUGGAUCUGGCCAAGGAAGUCCAGGCCCUGGGCCUCACGGCGGAGGUGAUUGACAUGAAGGAGUACGACCCAGAGGACAGCCUGUCUGAGGAGUGUACCAGUAAAUCCAUCUGCGUAUUCCUACUGGCCACCUACACGGAUGGGAAGCCCACAGAGAACGCGGAGUGGUUCUGCAAGUGGGUGGAGGAGGCAUCCAUGGAUUUCCGCUAUGGAAAGACCUACCUGAAGGGCAUGCGCUUUGCUGUCUUUGGGCUGGGGAAUUCCGUGUACGAGGGACACUACAACACGGUGGGUAAGCACGUGGACCGGUGGCUGUGGAUGCUGAGUGCCACGCGGGUGCUGUCACGCGGGGAGGGCGACGGCAACGUGGUGAGGAGCCGACACGGCAGCCUGCAGGCCGACUUCCUCAGCUGGCGGAGCCGCUUCCUGAAGAGGCUGCAGGCCCUGGCCAGGGGCGAGAAGAAGGCCUGCGGGGGCAAGUGCAAGAAGGGCACCUGCAAGAAGCACAAGGGGGCGCAAGAGCAGUCGGAGCCUGGCAGUGAGGGGGCGGAGCACCAGAGCUCCGAGGAGUCCAGCAGUGAUACGGGAUCAGCCACGGAUGAGGAGACGGCCAGCCGCUUGGUGGUGGAUGUGGAGGACCUGGGGGUGGUGAUGAGCCGCGUGAAGAAAGCAAAGGAUGAGACGGACAACGGCCGGGAGCUGCUGACGAGGAGGAAGAGCGAGGAGGAGGCCAGAGAGAUGAUCACUCCGGCGCUGAGGGAGGCUCUGACUAAGCAAGGGUACCGGCUGAUCGGGAGCCACUCGGGGGUGAAGCUGUGUCGCUGGACCAAGUCGAUGCUGCGAGGACGAGGGGGCUGCUACAAGCACACCUUCUACGGUAUCGAGUCGCACCGCUGCAUGGAAGCCACCCCCAGCCUCGCCUGCGCCAACAAAUGCGUCUUCUGCUGGAGGCAUCAUACUAACCCUGUAGGCACCGAGUGGCGCUGGAAGAUGGAUCCGCCUGAGAUGAUCUUGCAGGAGGCCAUUGAGAACCAUCAGAACCUCAUAAAGCAGUUCAGAGGGGUUCCCGGUGUGCUCCCGGAGCGCUUUGAGGAGGGCCUGGCGGUGCAGCACUGUGCCCUGUCCCUGGUGGGUGAGCCCAUUAUGUACCCGGAGGUGAACGCUUUCAUACGGCUGCUGCACCAACGGCGCAUCUCCAGCUUCCUGGUCACCAACGCGCAGUUCCCUGAGGAAAUCAGGAACCUGGUGCCUGUGACUCAGCUGUACGUCAGCGUGGACGCCAGUACCAAAGACAGCCUGAAGCGUAUCGACCGGCCUCUCUUCAAGGACUUUUGGCAGCGCUUCCUGGACAGCCUGAGAGCACUAGGCGAAAAGCAACAGCGCACCGUGUACCGCCUGACCCUGGUCAAAGCCUGGAACGUGGACGAGCUCAAGGCCUACGCAGAACUCGUCUCCUUGGGCCAGCCAGACUUUGUGGAGGUGAAGGGGGUGACGUACUGCGGGGAGAGCUCCGCCAGCAGCCUGACCAUGGCCAACGUGCCCUGGCACGAGGAGGUCCUGUACUUCGUCAGGCAGUUGGCUGACCAGUUGCCUGAUUAUGACAUCGCCUCUGAACACGAGCACUCAAACUGCAUCCUUAUUGCCCAUCGCAAGUUCAAGGUGGCUGGCGAGUGGCACACAUGGAUUGACUACGACCGCUUCCAAGAACUUGUGCGUCUUCAUGACGACACCGACAGCCAGACGAGCUUCUCGGCCGAGGACUACAUGGCCAGGACCCCCGACUGGGCCGUCUUCGGAGCCUGCGGAAGGGGAUUCGACCCAGCGGACACCCGCUUUCAGCGAAAGAACAAGACCAGAGAUGUUUCUGGGUGCUGAUGUCAGUUUAGUGACUGAUCUGCGCCCCUUUCAGUUCAAGAUGAGUUUUCCUGGGAGUGGGGGCCAUGGGUGUGUUCUUUCUGUUUUUAAUCCUGUGCUCUCCUGCCGAGGCGGAGAAGCCAAUCUCCACUCUGCUUUUACAGCUCGCUGGUAGAACAUUUAGUCGGACAUCAUCAUUUUCUGCUUAGAUGUCACUGUCACACAUCAGCCAUCCCAUCUCUGCCUCCGUGCGGAAGCUUAACUGCUGGAUUGCUCUGCUGGGCGGGGGCUUGGUGAUCUGAGGGGAAUUGCUAAAUGCUUGUGCAAUUUUUACUCCCUAGACGGACUUGGUUUGUUGGCUGUUAUAUGCCUUCAAAUCCCCCCCCCCCCCACAGACCUCUCUCAACGAAGAAUCUCAACACCUCCAGUGAGAACACGCUGAACUCAAAGGUUUACCUGCACUCCAAACAGUCAGCCAACGAAGAUGUGACCCUGAACAAGCCUGGCACAGGCAGGCCUGACAGUGGUGGGGCUGUGAACACGAAGGCGGCUUGUCUGGGGUGUCUGUGCCCUCUGCCAUCCCAUGGGGUCUCUGCUCAGCGUGCCCGACAGUGAUCGGGCCCUGCAGGCGGCUCUGAGAAGGCUGCUUGCAGAAUCACUGCUGGCUUAAGAAGAAUUACCCAUAAUUCCCUUGUUAGCUGAUGAGAGUCAAUUAACCAGAGGGCUACAAAACCGCCGUUUCCCAGCACGUUAGUGUUUCUGAAAUUUAUGUUUUUGAGCUGGGGGAUUUGCAUUUUAAUGGCAUAAUAAACUUGAAAGACUAACGACUUGUAUCGGAUCUCAAUAAACGCUACGCAUUGCAAAUAAUUAGUUGGAACCGGUCUUGGCAGCGAGAGAUGGCCACAAUCGCUGUCUGCCCGCUGGUGUGCUUUUUCAUUGGGUCAUGACCCAAGAUGGUCUUGCAGUGACAGUGGGCCUCACCACGCUAGGAAUCGGAGCUGCUCGGCUCAACUGACUUUGGACUUCGCUUCUUUGACUGUUGGGGGCCCAUUCUCGCUAAUAAUCCCGCCCACUGGGUUUAGGGUUUGAGCCCUGGGUGAGCUCUUGCAUGACCUACAGCAGCUGGCCUCCAGCUUUCAGUGUAAACUGUUCCAUUCCCCACCACAAGGUGGUGCCAUGCAAAGUAAUGAGGAUCAAUUCUGACAUGCCGAAUCUCCAGUGGCCCCUGAAUGCUGCUUGUGCCUGAGGCCUUAGAGGGGCAUUCAGAGACUGACUGGCAUCUUGAUGAGGUGGAUUUGCAGAAGAAUUAGGCUGACAGGGGAUGGAAGAUGCCCACCCCCCAUCCCUGAGGUCACAGCUGGGAACCCUAUCCUGUUACGCCCCCUAUUGGCCAGGAUGGAGUACAGCAGCACUAGUUCCAUGCUAUGACUUGCAAGUGAAGCUUUGGAUAUUGGCUCUGCAAUGCGGAUGAUUUUAGUCAUAUUUCCAGGCGUGUUCUAGGCAUGUCCACUGAAAGUUUUUCUUUACUUCUUUUUAGUAUUUUGUCCUCUAUAUGUGUAUCAUUUGCAUAGAUAAGACUUAUCACUUAAAACAUCAUGUUCCGCAAGUGAUCGGAUUGUCCUAGAGGUCUGUUUUGCUCAGUUUGCGGCAUGUUGGGGGCGCAGAGACAUCAGAUGUGAUCACAGCAGUGUGACGGCAGCAGUGUGGAACUCCUUCAGGUCUAACAUGCUCUGGAUAACAAGCUCUGAUCCCCACAUGGAGCUCGAGGACGACUCCGUCUAGCUGUCAUCGUCCCCUGUGUCCCUGGCAGCAGAGGUGGCCGCUUUCGGUCCAGAUACAGGUCUUUCCAGCGGCCUGCCAUCCACCUGGCGCCAUUAAAAGCUAAGCUGGAGUGGGGACUUAGCUUCUCUGCCGGUGUGUCUGGUGGACACCUCCCCAGCAGCCCGUCUCUCCACCCUGUGUCAAACGCAGGCUAGGUGUUCUGGAUAUUUGAGCAGCAGAGUAGAAGAGGUCUUUGAUUAAGAAGAAUGAUGUGUAAAUAUGAUCCCCCAUAAACUCCUGGUGAUUAAACGCUCCCAACAGAAAAAAAUAAUCACAGGACACCAUUCAGAAAUAGCUGCUGUGUGUGUGUGUGUGUGUGUGUGUCUGGCCAGCUAAAACAAGGGGUUCCCCUCUUCAGGACCAGAGUAGCCCCUUUGCAUAAUUAAUCAGCUAUGUGUAACAGCAUGAUGUUCGUAACAGGGCUAAGAAUUAACUUCGAGAGGUUGACUUGCA
Molecule: RNA transcript, 4625 nt
Organism: Paramormyrops kingsleyae
Lineage: Eukaryota; Metazoa; Chordata; Actinopteri; Osteoglossiformes; Mormyridae
Gene: tyw1
Gene name: tRNA-yW synthesizing protein 1 homolog (S. cerevisiae)
Source: RefSeq, a predicted model, not a curated record